UACGGAGGGUGCGAGCGUUAAUCGGAAUUACUGGGCGUAAAGCGCGCGUAGGCGGUUUGUUAAGUCAGCUGUGAAAGCCCCGGGCUUAACCUGGGAAUGGCAGUUGAUACUGGCAAGCUAGAGUGUGGUAGAGGGGUGUGGAAUUUCCGGUGUAGCAGUGAAAUGCGUAGAGAUCGGAAGGAACACCAGUGGCGAAGGCGGCACCCUGGACCAACACUGACGCUGAGGUGCGAAAGCGUGGGGAGCAAACAGGAUUAGAAACCCCCGUAGUCC
RNAcentral lists this ribosomal RNA (273 nucleotides) under uncultured bacterium. RNAcentral's name for it is "partial 16S ribosomal RNA". It matches the Rfam family "Bacterial small subunit ribosomal RNA", at positions 524 to 796 of the family's 1533-position model. The record is from RNAcentral.